GGCCCUGUGGUCAAGAGGUUAAGACAUCACCCUUUCACGGUGAAAUCUCGGGUUCGAUUCCCGGCAGGGUCACCA
RNAcentral lists this transfer RNA (75 nucleotides) under Oscillospiraceae bacterium. RNAcentral's name for it is "tRNA-Glu". It matches the Rfam family "tRNA". Rfam says of the family: Transfer RNA (tRNA) molecules are approximately 80 nucleotides in length. Their secondary structure includes four short double-helical elements and three loops (D, anti-codon, and T loops). Further hydrogen bonds mediate the characteristic L-shaped molecular structure. tRNAs have two regions of fundamental functional importance: the anti-codon, which is responsible for specific mRNA codon recognition, and the 3' end, to which the tRNAs corresponding amino acid is attached (by aminoacyl-tRNA synthetases). tRNAs cope with the degeneracy of the genetic code in two manners: having more than one tRNA (with a specific anti-codon) for a particular amino acid; and 'wobble' base-pairing, i.e. permitting non-standard base-pairing at the 3rd anti-codon position. RNAcentral also lists the same sequence under 1 other name. Lineage: Bacteria; Bacillati; Bacillota; Clostridia; Eubacteriales; Oscillospiraceae. The record is from RNAcentral.